RNAcentral lists this ribosomal RNA (604 nucleotides) under uncultured Phialocephala. RNAcentral's name for it is "eukaryotic LSU rRNA". The stretch from base 243 to 396 matches the Rfam family "5.8S ribosomal RNA". Lineage: Eukaryota; Fungi; Ascomycota; Leotiomycetes; Helotiales. The record is from RNAcentral.
CUUGGUCAUUUAGAGGAAGUAAAAGUCGUAACAAGGUUUCCGUAGGUGAACCUGCGGAAGGAUCAUUACAAGUGAGGCUACCGAACGUUGGAAACAGCGGUUAGGAGCUUACACCCACCCGUGUUUACAUACUAUUGUUGCUUUGGCGGGCCGUGGCCUCCACUGCGGGCUCUGCUCGUGUGUGCCCGCCAGAGAACCAAACUCUGAAUGUUAGUGAUGUCUGAGUACUAUCUAAUAGUUAAAACUUUCAACAACGGAUCUCUUGGUUCUGGCAUCGAUGAAGAACGCAGCGAAAUGCGAUAAGUAAUGUGAAUUGCAGAAUUCAGUGAAUCAUCGAAUCUUUGAACGCACAUUGCGCCCUGUGGUAUUCCGCAGGGCAUGCCUGUUCGAGCGUCAUUUAACCACUCACGCCUAGCGUGGUAUUGGGGCACGCGGUCUCCGCGGCCCUCAAGAUCAGUGGCGGCGCCGGUGGGCUCUAAGCGUAGUACAUACUCCCGCUAUAGAGUUCCCCCCGGUGGCUCGCCAGAACCCCCAAUUUUUUACAGGUUGACCUCGGAUCAGGUAGGGAUACCCGCUGAACUUAAGCAUAUCAAUAAGCGGAGGA